CCUACGGGCGGCAGCAGUGGGGAAUAUUGGACAAUGGGGGGAACCCUGAUCCAGCCAUGCCGCGUGUGUGAAGAAGGCCCUCGGGUUGUAAAGCACUUUCAGUGAGGAAGAACGCCUGGUGGUUAAUACCCAUCAGGAAAGACAUCACUCACAGAAGAAGCACCGGCUAACUCCGUGCCAGCAGCCGCGGUAAUACGGAGGGUGCGAGCGUUAAUCGGAAUUACUGGGCGUAAAGCGCGCGUAGGUGGCUUGAUAAGCCGGUUGUGAAAGCCCCGGGCUCAACCUGGGAACGGCAUCCGGAACUGUCAAGCUAGGGUGCAGGAGAGGAAGGUAGAAUUCCCGGUGUAGCGGUGAAAUGCGUAGAGAUCGGGAGGAAUACCAGUGGCGCAGGCGGCCUUCUGGACUGACACUGACACUGAGGUGCGAAAGCGUGGGUAGCAAACAGGAUUAGAUACCCCUGUAGUC
RNAcentral lists this ribosomal RNA (465 nucleotides) under Vreelandella stevensii. Its description in RNAcentral is "partial 16S ribosomal RNA". It matches the Rfam family "Bacterial small subunit ribosomal RNA", at positions 338 to 795 of the family's 1533-position model. Lineage: Bacteria; Pseudomonadati; Pseudomonadota; Gammaproteobacteria; Oceanospirillales; Halomonadaceae. The record is from RNAcentral.